UAUGAAAAUCCCAAAAUAAUUCCUGGAAAUAUUAGUAAAAAACCAAGAACCCGUUAGACACAAGAACCCAAAUCAUGUAGAAGAAAGGAGAGAAACAGAGAAACAAGGUACUGAGCACUGAGUCAAUUACCUUGUUUGGCAGAGCAGUGAGGGAAAGAAACUAAGAGAGAAAGAAAGAGAAAUUACCCGUGAAACUUGGUGCAACUUGG
Molecule: unclassified non-coding RNA, 209 nt
Filed under: Hevea brasiliensis (rubber tree)
Lineage: Eukaryota; Viridiplantae; Streptophyta; Magnoliopsida; Malpighiales; Euphorbiaceae
Source: RNAcentral